GACGAACGCUGGCGGCGUGCUUAACACAUGCAAGUCGAGCGGUAAGGCCCUUUCGGGGGUACACGAGCGGCGAACGGGUGAGUAACACGUGGGUGACCUGCCCUCAGCUCUGGGAUAAGCCUGGGAAACCGGGUCUAAUACCGGAUAUGACUCCAUGACGCAUGUUGUGGGGUGGAAAGCCUUGUGCGGCUGAGGAUGGGCCCGNGGCCUAUCAGCUUGUUGGUGGGGUGANGGCCUACCAAGGCGACGACGGGUAGCCGGCCUGAGAGGGCGACCGGCCACACUGGGACUGAGACACGGCCCAGACUCCUACGGGAGGCAGCAGUGGGGAAUCUUGCGCAAUGGGCGAAAGCCUGACGCAGCGACGCCGCGUGAGGGAUGACGG
Molecule: ribosomal RNA, 385 nt
Filed under: uncultured bacterium
Lineage: Bacteria
Description: bacterial SSU rRNA
Rfam family: Bacterial small subunit ribosomal RNA
Source: RNAcentral